ACGCGAAACCUUCCUUCGGGAGGGGAGUAGAGUGGCGCACGGGUGAGUAACACGUAGGUAAUUUGCCUUUGGGUGGGGAAUAACUCAGGGAAACUUGAGCUAAUACCGCAUAAUGCAGCGGCUCGACAUCGAGACAGUUGUUAAAGCGGGGGAUUCCUUCGGGAACCUCGCGCCUAAAGAGAAGCCUGCGGCAGAUUAGCUAGUUGGUAAGGUAAUGGCUUACCAAGGCGACGAUCUGUAACCGGCCUGAGAGGGCGGUCGGUCACACUGACACUGACAUACGGGUCAGACUCCUACGGGAGGCAGCAGUCGGGAAUUUUGGGCAAUGGGCGAAAGCCUGACCCAGCAACGCCGCGUGAAGGAUGAAAUUUUUCGGAAUGUAAACUUCGCAAGAACGGGAAGAAUAAGUAGAAGAUAAUACCUUCUAUGAUGACGGUACCGUUUGUAAGCUCCGGCUAACUCCGUGCCAGCAGCCGCGGUAAUACGGGGGGAGCAAGCGUUGUUCGGAUUUACUGGGCGUAAAGGGCGCGUAGGCGGUCGUGACAAGUCACUUGUGAAAUCUCCGGGCUUAACUCGGAACGGUCAAGUGAUACUGUCGGACUAGAGUACAGAAGGGGCAACUGGAAUUCUCGGUGUAGCGGUGAAAUGCGUAGAUAUCGAGAGGAACACCUGCGGCGAAGGCGGGUUGCUGGGCUGAUACUGACGCUGAGGCGCGAAAGCCAGGGGAGCGAACGGGAUUAGAUACCCCGGUAGUCCUGGCCUUAAAC
Molecule: ribosomal RNA, 767 nt
Filed under: uncultured bacterium
Lineage: Bacteria
Description: bacterial SSU rRNA
Rfam family: Bacterial small subunit ribosomal RNA
Source: RNAcentral